This is a long non-coding RNA of Balaenoptera ricei (Rice's whale), 1606 nucleotides long. RefSeq lists it as uncharacterized. NCBI's taxonomy places the organism in Eukaryota, Metazoa, Chordata, Mammalia, Artiodactyla, Balaenopteridae. The transcript has 3 exons. The record is from RefSeq and is a predicted model, not a curated record.
CGCGAGAUCAGCCGGGCGGCGGAAGUGGUCGGGCGACGGGCCUAAGGUUUAGGAGCGAAGGCUCAUAUUAUUGGCCUCCGUUUGUAUUCGUGCCCAAGUUCUGCAAAUUCAAGGGUGGAGAUAAAAAGAUCACCUACAUGGGAAUUCCCUGGAGGUCCAGUGGUUAGGAUGCUUUCACUGCUGGGGCCCGGGGUUCCAUCCUUGAUCAGGGAACUAAGAUCCCACAAGCUGCGUGGGGUGGCCAAAAAAAAAAAAAAAAGAAGUCAUCUACAAAUGAAGAGCAAAACGGAUAUUUUCAGGUCUGUAAUUGACAGUCAAGAGGUACCUGCCUGGGCUUCCCUGGUGGCGCAGUGGUUAAGAAUCUGCCUGCCGAUGCAGGGGACACGGGUUCGAGCCCUGGUCCGGGAAGAUCCCACAUGCUGCGGAGCAACUAUGCCCAUGCGCCACAACUGCUGAGCCCGUGUGCCACAACUACUGAAGCCCGUGCUCCACAACAAGGGAAGCCACCGCAAUGAGAAGCCCGUGCACCGCAACGAAGAGUAGCCCCUGCUCGCCGCAACUAGAGAAAACCCACGCACACCAGCGAAGACCCAACGCAGCCAAAAAUAAAUAAAAUAAAAAUAAUAAAAAAAGGUACCUGCCUGAGAGCUCCCUCUGCUGGCCUCCCAACUCCAUUUUAAAUGAGGUUUCUCUUUAUUAAUUUUCACAAACUCAGUAAUAAAAAGACAAUUAGAAAAUGAGCAGAGGAUGAACGGACAUUUCUACAAUGAAGAUAUACAAAUGGCUGAUAAGCACACAAAAAGAUGCUCAACAUUGUUAGUCACUAGGGAAACGCAAAUCAGCUGUAUCAUGAGAUACCACUUCACACCUACUAGGAUGGCUAUAGUCAAAAAAGAUAGGUAAAUGUUGUGAGGACGUGGAGAAAUUGGAACCCUCAUACAGUGCCGGUGGGAAUGUAAAAUGAUGCAGUCACUUUGGAAAGUCUGGCAGUUCUUCAAAAGGUUAAACAUAGAGUAACCAUAUGACCCAGCAAUUCCACUCCUAGGUAUAUGCCCAAGAGAAGUGAAAAUGUGUCUACACAAAAACUUGUACAUGAUUGUUUAUAGCAGCAUUAUUCUUAAUAGCCAAGAAGUGAGAAAACACCCAAAUGCCCACCAACUCAUGAAUGGAUAAACAAAAUGUGAUAGCUCAAUACAGUGGAUACAUUAGAAUUUAUGAGAAUAUACAAUGGAAUAUUAUUUGGCAAUAAAAAGCAGUGAAGUGUACUGAUAUGUGCUACAACACGUAUGAACCUUGAAAACGUGAUGCUGGAAGAAGCCAGACCCAAAAGAUCACACAGUGCAUGAUUCUAUUUAUAUGAAAUGUCCAGAAUAGGCAAAUCCAUAGAGGCAGAAAGUAGAUUAGUGGUUGCCAGGGCCUGCAGAAGGGGGUAGUGGGUACUGCUAAAGGGUAGGGGGUUUCUUUAUGGGGUGAUGAAAAUGUUCUAAACUUGAUGUGGUGUUGGUUGCACAACUCUGAAAAUAUAUUGUAAACCAAUGAAUUGUACACUUUAAACGGGUGAAGUGUAUGGCGUGUGAAUUCUAAUCAAUAAAGCUGUUUAUAGAAA